UACGUAGGGGGCAAGCGUUGUCCGGAAUCAUUGGGCGUAAAGAGCGCGUAGGCGGCCCUGUAAGUCCGCUGUGAAAGUCAAGGGCUCAACCCUUGGAUGCCGGUGGAUACUGCAGGGCUAGAGUCCGGAAGAGGCGAGUGGAAUUCCUGGUGUAGCGGUGAAAUGUGUAGAGAUCGGGAGGAACACCGGUGGCGAAGGCAGCCCCCUGGGCCAACACUGACGCUCAGGCACGAAAGCGUGGGGAGCAAACAGG
This 253-nucleotide ribosomal RNA is filed under the name uncultured bacterium. RNAcentral describes it as "partial 16S ribosomal RNA". It matches the Rfam family "Bacterial small subunit ribosomal RNA", at positions 524 to 776 of the family's 1533-position model. The record is from RNAcentral.